This is a non-coding RNA of Pelobates cultripes (western spadefoot toad), 210 nucleotides long. Lineage: Eukaryota; Metazoa; Chordata; Amphibia; Anura; Pelobatidae. The record is from the annotation of a GenBank genome assembly.
CAAGGACCCAGAGUCUGGAGGAAGAAUGGAGAGGCACACACUGCAAGAUGCUUGAAGUCCAGUGUGAAGUUUCCACAGUCUGUGUUGAUUUGGGGAGCCAUGUCAUCUGCUGGUGUUGGUCCACUGUGCUUCAUUAAGUCCAGGGUCAAUGCAGCCGUCUACCAGGAGAUUUUGGAGCACUUCAUGCUUCCUUCCGCAGACGAGCUUUAU